GAAGAGGGUUGCUCUUUUGGGGUGGCGAGUGGCGGGACGGGUUGAGCUAAUUUCUGGGAAACUGCCCAAUGGAGGGGGAUAACUACUGGAAACGGUAGCUAAUACCGCAUAACGUCGCAAGACCAAAGUGGGGGACCUUCGGGCCUCACACCAUCGGAUGUGCCCAGAUGGGAUUAGCUAGUAGGUGGGGUAAUGGCUCACCUAGGCGACGAUCCCUAGCUGGUCUGAGAGGAUGACCAGCCACACUGGAACUGAGACACGGUCCAGACUCCUACGGGAGGCAGCAGUGGGGAAUAUUGCACAAUGGGCGCAAGCCUGAUGCAGCCAUGCCGCGUGUAUGAAGAAGGCCUUCGGGUUGUAAAGUACUUUCAGCGGGGAGGAAGGCGGUGAGGUUAAUAACCUCGCCGAUUGACGUUACCCGCAGAAGAAGCACCGGCUAACUCCGUGCCAGCAGCCGCGGUAAUACGGAGGGUGCAAGCGUUAAUCGGAAUUACUGGGCGUAAAGCGCACGCAGGCGGUCUGUUAAGUCAGAUGUGAAAUCCCCGGGCUUAACCUGGGAACUGCAUUUUGAAACUGGCAGGCUUUGAGUCUCGUAGAGGGGGGGGUAGAAUUCCAGGGUGUAGCGGUGAAAAUGCCGUAGAGAUCCUGGAGGAAAUACCCGGGUGGGCGAAAGGGCGGGCCCCCUGNNCGAAGACUGACGCU
Molecule: ribosomal RNA, 702 nt
Filed under: Pantoea agglomerans
Lineage: Bacteria; Pseudomonadati; Pseudomonadota; Gammaproteobacteria; Enterobacterales; Erwiniaceae
Description: bacterial SSU rRNA
Rfam family: Bacterial small subunit ribosomal RNA
Source: RNAcentral